UACGGAGGGUGCGAGCGUUGUUCGGAAUUACUGGGCGUAAAGCGCGUGUAGGCGGCCUUCUAAGUCUGGUGUGAAAGCCCGGGGCUCAACCCCGGAAGUGCAUUGGAUACUGGGAGGCUGGAGUACCGGAGAGGAGGGUGGAAUUCCUGGUGUAGCGGUGAAAUGCGUAGAUAUCAGGAGGAACACCCGUAGCGAAGGCGGCACUCUGGGCCGGAACUGACGCUGAGGAGCGAAAGCGUGGGGAGCGAACAGG
RNAcentral lists this ribosomal RNA (253 nucleotides) under uncultured bacterium. RNAcentral's name for it is "partial 16S ribosomal RNA". It matches the Rfam family "Bacterial small subunit ribosomal RNA", at positions 524 to 776 of the family's 1533-position model. The record is from RNAcentral.